GCGCAUGCGCGCGCCCGGGCGGCGCGGGGUCUGGGUCUGGGGAUGUGGUACCGUCUGCUGGCGGCGGCCGGCAGUAGAGCGGUGGCCGGGCCGCUGGCCUUGUUGUGGCGAUGUGGUGGCCCAGGAGGCGGCAGGACGGCCAAGACCAGCGCGAGGGCCCUGGGCAAGGCCCGACAGUGGUUGUGGCCAGUGAGAAUGUGCAGUGUUGUAUUGCAGAAGAAGCUAGUAAAGCUCAUCUGGUCUCUUGUUUCAGUGCUUCCAGGGGAUCCACUUUCAGAAGCUGACUCUGCAGGCAAGACCGACGUUAUUUUCCCGGUGGCUGUGUUCAAAACCACCCAAAGGUACCUGUCUUUCAUCCACCAUCAUUAACAGCAUGAGGUUUACAGGAACUGAGUGGCUUCCUCAGAGUGUGACUUCUACAGUGAGUGACCAGGGGGCGAGGAUCCAGACAACUCAGGGCACAUCCCACUCCACCCCGCCCCAUCCUACCCCUU
This 494-nucleotide small RNA is filed under the name Pan troglodytes (chimpanzee). Its description in RNAcentral is "retained intron". The record is from RNAcentral. Lineage: Eukaryota; Metazoa; Chordata; Mammalia; Primates; Hominidae.